RNAcentral lists this long non-coding RNA (546 nucleotides) under Capsicum annuum. RNAcentral's name for it is "long non-coding RNA (CANN_LNC003587)". Lineage: Eukaryota; Viridiplantae; Streptophyta; Magnoliopsida; Solanales; Solanaceae. The record is from RNAcentral.
CCCUAGAAACACCAAAAACCUCACUAGCAUUCUCCCUGAUGCACCUAGCCACCCUAUCCCACAUACUAUCCACGUCCCCCCUACAUUCCCACACCUCCAUUCCCGCCAACUUCUCCCCUAUCUCCCACACAUUCACUGGCGUCAAGCCGCACCACUUAAUUCUAGGUCUACACUCCUCACCCCUUCUCUUUCUAUCCUUCUUUAUACCCAAAUCCAUAACCAAGAGCCUAUGUUGGGUCGAAAGAUUCUCACUCGAGAUGACCUUACAGUCCUUACACAACGCCCUAUCCCCUUUCCUAAGCAACAAAAAGUCAAUCUGGGUCUUGACUAUUGCGCUUCGGAAGGUGAUCAGGUGAUCGUCCUUCUUCGGAAAGUCCGAGUUCACCACCACCAGCCCAAAGGACCUCGCAAAAUUCAAUAGAGUAGCCCUCUCUUCAUUUCUUUCCCCAAAACCAAAACCACCAUGCACAUCACCAAAGCCUCCCGGUAACACCCCGAUGUGCCCAUUGAAAUCUCCUGUUACAACAAUUUUCUCCGAGCUAGGCA